This 385-nucleotide unclassified non-coding RNA is filed under the name uncultured Phycisphaeraceae bacterium. RNAcentral's name for it is "contains 16S-23S intergenic spacer region". The record is from RNAcentral. Lineage: Bacteria; Pseudomonadati; Planctomycetota; Phycisphaerae; Phycisphaerales; Phycisphaeraceae.
UCCGGUUUGACACCGGCAGUCCCGUUAGAGUCCUCAGCAUUACCUGUUAGCAACUAACGGCAGGGGUUUCGCUCGUUAAGGGACUUAACCCGACACUUCACAGCACGAGCUGACGACAGCCAUGCAGCACCUGUGCACGUUCCACCCAAAGGGCGUUACUCCCCUUUCAGGGAGCUAAUCCGUGCAUGUCAAGCCCAGGAUAAGGUUCUUCGCGUUGCUUCGAAUUAAGCCACAUGCUCCACCGCUUGUGUGAGCCCCCGUCAAUUCCUUUGAGUUUUAGUCUUGCGACCGUACUCCCCAGGCGGCGCACUUAAUGUUUUAACUUCGGUCCGGAUGACGUCAGAGCCUCCCGAACCUAGUGCGCAUCGUUUACGGCGUGGACUAC